This 387-nucleotide ribosomal RNA is filed under the name uncultured Thermovirga sp. RNAcentral describes it as "bacterial SSU rRNA". It matches the Rfam family "Bacterial small subunit ribosomal RNA", at positions 995 to 1382 of the family's 1533-position model. The record is from RNAcentral. Lineage: Bacteria; Thermotogati; Synergistota; Synergistia; Synergistales; Thermovirgaceae.
GAAAGGUAGAAGGACUUACUCUUCGGAGUGAGAGCGUACACAGGUGCUGCAUGGCUGUCGUCAGCUCGUGUCGUGAGAUGUUGGGUUAAGUCCCGCAACGAGCGCAACCCUGCAUUCAGUUGCCAUCGGUAAGGCCGGGCACUCUGGAUGGACUGCCGGCGACAAGCCGGAGGAAGUGGGGACGACGUCAAGUCAUCAUGGCCCUUAUGUCCAGGGCGACACACGUGCUACAAUGGCCGGCACAACGGGAAGCGAAGGGGCGACCCUGAGCGGAUCCCACAAAAGCCGGUCUCAGUUCGGAUUGCAGUCUGCAACUCGACUGCAUGAAGUUGGAAUCGCUAGUAAUCGUGGAUCAGCCAAGCCGCGGUGAAUACGUUCCCGGGCCUU